This 379-nucleotide ribosomal RNA is filed under the name uncultured eukaryote. Its description in RNAcentral is "partial 18S ribosomal RNA". It matches the Rfam family "Eukaryotic small subunit ribosomal RNA", at positions 592 to 976 of the family's 1831-position model. The record is from RNAcentral.
CAAUAGCGUAUAUUAAAGUUGUUGCAGUUAAAAAGCUCGUAGUUGAACUUCAGGCCUGGCCGGGCGGUCUGCCUCACGGUAUGUACUGUCUGGCUGGGUCUUACCUCUUGGUGAGCCGGCAUGCCCUUCAUUGGGUGUGUCGGGGAACCAGGACUUUUACCUUGAGAAAAUUAGAGUGCUCAAAGCAGGCUUAUGCCCGAAUACAUUAGCAUGGAAUAAUAAAAUAGGACGUGCGGUUCUAUUUUGUUGGUUUCUAGAGUCGCCGUAAUGAUUAAUAGGGAUAGUUGGGGGCAUUAGUAUUCAGUUGCUAGAGGUGAAAUUCUUGGAUUUACUGAAGACUAACUACUGCGAAAGCAUUUGCCAAGGAUGUUUUCAUUAA